AACGAACGCUGGCGGCAUGCCUAACACAUGCAAGUCGAACGAGACCUUCGGGGCUAGUGGCGCACGGGUGCGUAACGCGUGGGAACCUGCCCUUAGGUUCGGAAUAACUCCCCGAAAGGGGUGCUAAUACCGGAUAAUGUCUUCGGAGCAAAGAUUUAUCGCCUUUGGAUGGGCCCGCGUUUGAUUAGCUAGUUGGUAGGGUAAAAGCCUACCAAGGCGACGAUCCAUAGCUGGUCUGAGAGGAUGAUCAGCCACACUGGGACUGAGACACGGCCCAGACUCCUACGGGAGGCAGCAGUGGGGAAUAUUGGACAAUGGGCGAAAGCCUGAUGCAGCAAUGCCGCGUGAGUGAUGAAGGCCUUAGGGUUGUAAAGCUCUUUUACCCGGGAUGAUAAUGACAGUACCGGGAGAAUAGGCCCCGGCUAACUCCGUG
This 433-nucleotide ribosomal RNA is filed under the name uncultured bacterium. Its description in RNAcentral is "partial 16S ribosomal RNA". It matches the Rfam family "Bacterial small subunit ribosomal RNA", at positions 29 to 507 of the family's 1533-position model. The record is from RNAcentral.